This 926-nucleotide long non-coding RNA is filed under the name Homo sapiens (human). Its description in RNAcentral is "novel transcript". The record is from RNAcentral. Lineage: Eukaryota; Metazoa; Chordata; Mammalia; Primates; Hominidae.
AGGACAAAGGGGGCGGGGAGGCCGCCACUAGCAAACAACCUCAGCUUCAUAAAUCCAGCAGAAAGGUCCGGGGUAUUGUUGAAAAGGUCGGAAGGACCAAGAUUAUGUCCGCCAGCCUAAGUGGGACGAACAACCAAGUUGUGCGAUGCAGCUUUAAAGGGGCUGGUGAUUGACAGAAUGGUGUAGUAGUAGAUGGGGUGGAGCCGCUGGGUGGGGUCGAGACUGGCAGCUGAGAGAUACCAAAAGGAAGAAAAAAGAAAACCAUUGCUCUUGAUAUUGCUAAUGCCGGGGGAGGUAAGCUAACGAGAAAGUAGGGAAAAGGAAGGUUUUAGAGUUCACCUCCACUCCUUCCCCUGGCUAACACUCUUUACACUCUUCUGCCUUCCCUUGAGAUAAUUAAAAUAGACUGUACACCGGCCCUAGUCGGUGCCCAUUCCCCCUAACUCUUCACUCAACUACGUGUGUAGUCCGAGGGAGUGAGGACCCCGGGUCCAAGAGCUCAAUCCCGGCCCCGCCCCGUCGGCCCAGGCCCCGGGGCUGGGAGGAGAGGAUGCCUUCGGAGGCGCAGAAUCCGAAAAGAUGUGGUUGGAGCUGGAAGCUGUUAUCCUCAGCAAACUAAUGCAGGAGGAGAAAACCAAAUACUGCAAGUUCUCACUUAUAAGUGGGAACUGAAUGAUGAGAACAUUUGGACAUGGUAAGGGGAGGACAACAUGCAGUGGGGCCUGUUGGGGAGUAUGGCAGGAGGGAAAGCAUCAGGAAAUUCACUAAUAGAUGCUGGGCUUAAUAACUUGAUGAUGGGAUGAUCUGUGCAGCAAACCACCAUGGCACAUGUUUACUAAUGUAACAAACCUGCACAUUCAGCACAUGUACCCCUGAACUUAAAAUAAAGCAAAAUAAAAAUAAAAAUAUAAUUUUUCCCCAUUCAA